Molecule: ribosomal RNA, 253 nt
Filed under: uncultured bacterium
Lineage: Bacteria
Description: partial 16S ribosomal RNA
Rfam family: Bacterial small subunit ribosomal RNA
Source: RNAcentral
UACGGGGGGGGCAAGCGUUGUUCGGAAUUACUGGGCAUAAAGGGUGCGUAGGCGGCUUGUUAAGUCAGGGGUGAAAGUUUUCGGCCCAACCGGAAAAUGGCCUUUGAUACUGGCGAGCUCGAGUGCGUGAGGGGUGACUGGAACGAGCAGUGUAGCGGUGAAAUGCGUAGAUAUUGCUCGGAAGGCCAACGGCGAAGGCAGGUCACUGGUACGCAACUGACGCUGAGGCACGAAAGCGUGGGGAGCAAACAGG